RNAcentral lists this ribosomal RNA (253 nucleotides) under uncultured bacterium. RNAcentral's name for it is "partial 16S ribosomal RNA". It matches the Rfam family "Bacterial small subunit ribosomal RNA", at positions 524 to 776 of the family's 1533-position model. The record is from RNAcentral.
UACGUAGGGGGCAAGCGUUGUCCGGAAUCCUUGGGCGUAAAGCGCGCGUAGGCGGCUAGAUCAGUCUGCUGUAAAAGUCAAAGGCUCAACCUUUGAAAGCCGGUGGAUACUGUCUAGCUAGAGUCCGGAAGAGGCGAGUGGAAUUCCUGGUGUAGCGGUGGAAUGCGCAGAUAUCAGGAGGAACACCAACGGCGAAGGCAGCUCGCUGGGACGGUACUGACGCUAAGGCGCGAAAGCGUGGGGAGCGAACAGG